UACGAACUGCGCGAACGUUAUUCGGAAUCACUGGGCUUAAAGGGUGCGUAGGCGGCGAUACAAGUCAGAUGUGAAAGCCAACAGCUCAACUGUUGAAUUGCGUUUGAAACUGUAUUGCUUGAGUGUGACAGGGGUAUUCGGAACUUCCAGUGGAGCGGUGAAAUGUGUUGAUAUUGGAAGGAACACCGGUGGCGAAAGCGGAAUACUGGGUCAUUGCUGACGCUGAGGCACGAAAGCCAGGGUAGCGAACGGGAUUAGAAACCCCGGUAGU
This 271-nucleotide ribosomal RNA is filed under the name uncultured bacterium. RNAcentral describes it as "partial 16S ribosomal RNA". It matches the Rfam family "Bacterial small subunit ribosomal RNA", at positions 524 to 794 of the family's 1533-position model. The record is from RNAcentral.